UCUCCUUAUGCACCCCAGAGA
This 21-nucleotide microRNA is filed under the name Saccoglossus kowalevskii. Its description in RNAcentral is "sko-miR-4830b-3p". Lineage: Eukaryota; Metazoa; Hemichordata; Enteropneusta; Harrimaniidae. The record is from miRBase by way of RNAcentral.